Small nuclear RNA from Pongo abelii (Sumatran orangutan), 107 nucleotides. NCBI's taxonomy places the organism in Eukaryota, Metazoa, Chordata, Mammalia, Primates, Hominidae. The record is from Ensembl.
GUGCUUGCCUCAGCAGCAUAUGUUCUAAAAGUGUACCAAUGCAGAAAAGAUUAGCGUUGCCACUAUGCAAGGAUGACAUGCAAAUUGGUGAAGCAUUCCAUAUUAUA